UGUGUGUGUGUGUGUGUGUGUGUGUGUGUGUGUGUGUGUGUGUGACAGAAAGAUCUGAUUUUAUCCCUUUUUCUAGGAAAAUAUGACUUUGCCCAGGACCUCACCCAGUAUAAUCCUCCACACAAAUCACUCAGAAGGAUCACAUCACUUUAUCCAAAAAAAGAAAAAAUCUGAGAGUUCCAGGUUCGCCUAACGAAAGCGACUUCAUGCAAUGAAAUUCCUGUCAUUCUUCCCUAAUAUUUUGCAUUAAAUGAUCUAUUUUCCUCCAAAUAUUUCCUUGUUGAUUAUCAUUAUAAAUCUUCCCUUAGGUAUCUAAUUUUAUAUAAAAUAUAUAUAAAUGGC
RNAcentral lists this long non-coding RNA (342 nucleotides) under Chinchilla lanigera (long-tailed chinchilla). RNAcentral describes it as "lncRNA (ENSCLAG00000027926.1)". The record is from RNAcentral. Lineage: Eukaryota; Metazoa; Chordata; Mammalia; Rodentia; Chinchillidae.